Pelobates cultripes (western spadefoot toad) is the source of this 438-nucleotide non-coding RNA. The record is from the annotation of a GenBank genome assembly. Lineage: Eukaryota; Metazoa; Chordata; Amphibia; Anura; Pelobatidae.
GUCUAUCUCAUAUAUUAGUUGAAUGAACUUUUGCACGAUAUUCUAGUUUUUCGAGUAUCACCUAUACACCCCCUGUGUUAACUGACAUCAAUGUGAACCUGUACUAAUUUGCAAUGUACGUCAGGCAUCCAAUUUAUGCGGGUACCAACCACUCGUGGCCCUGACCUCAUUCCCAUAUAAAAUCAAAAUAAAAUAGAAGAGUCAUGACUGCUUGAAGUGUGACAUAGCUUUCCAUGUGCAGAUCCAAAUGACAAGCACAGUUUCAGUGCCAGUCAAUCAUAAUUAAGGCCUAGCACAUAAAUUCUGUUUGUCGUUUGAAGGGUUCCAUAAAGGGUACACCUAACUUCAUGCAGUCAUGCCUCCUCCAUUUUAUUCUUUGUAAAUCAAUGGAAACAUUGUCAGGGUGCUCAAUACAUUAAGUCAGAAUGAUUUUUAAAU